AUACGUAGGGGGCGAGCGUUAUCCGGAAUCAUUGGGCGUAAAGGGCGCGUAGGCGGCCCGGUAAGUCUGGAGUGAAAGUCAUGUUUUUAAGAUGGGAAUUGCUUUGGAUACUGUCGGGCUAGCGUGCAGGCGAGGUAGUUGGAAUUCCCAGUGUAGCGGUGAAAUGCGUAGAGAUUAGGAGGAAUAUCAGUGGCGAAGGCGACUUACUGGACUGUAACUGACGCUGAGGCGCGAAAGUGGGGGGAGCAAACAGGAUUAGAUUCCCUGGUAGUCCACACUGUAAACGAUGAAUGCUAGGUGUAGGGGGUAUCGACCCCUUCUGUGCCGCAGUCAACACAAUAAGCAUUCCGCCUGGGGAGUACGGCCGCAAGGUUGAAACUUAAAGGAAUUGACGGGG
This 397-nucleotide ribosomal RNA is filed under the name uncultured bacterium. RNAcentral describes it as "partial 16S ribosomal RNA". It matches the Rfam family "Bacterial small subunit ribosomal RNA", at positions 523 to 918 of the family's 1533-position model. The record is from RNAcentral.